GGUAAUUUGAUAUUUUUCUUUCCAAUUCCAGAUCUUCCUAGCAUUUUGAUGUUUGAUAUGGUAUUUUCUUCUUACUUUCAGUUGCUUGCAAUAAGAUGGAAUAUAUAUUAUAGAAAAGUUAGGCAUUAUUCAUUACCUAUUCUGAGCAUGUUUGGCUCUUUAGUCGAAUGUAUUGGUAUCAACCUGGCUUAACACUGGUGUGAAAACAACAUCAUGUCCACAUCAGUAGAAUUUUGCACCUGACCUAUUCUCUUUCUAAUGUUUGAUGUAAAAUGACUUCGCAGCAUGAGUGCACGCAAGAUAUGAAAUUUAACACACUCUGGAUUGUUACCCCAUCUGUUUCUUCUUUCUGUUGACUGUUAACCAUCAAUAGAGCUUUCUUUCUUGGCCUUCAAAUGGCCACAUCAGCGAUGGAAUAUCAAGUGGACUAAUGAUAACUGGUAUUGCAUUAACAGUCAACUAAUGUUUUUCUGUAUUUGCAUCGGAUUUCUGAGAAUCUGAUGGGUUGGACUGGUACACAUUUGUAUAGUAUCUGAAUCCUUGCUAUGAAUGUAUUGCAUUAUAUUAUUCAAAUAUUAAUGCUGCUCCAAAUAUGCAUGCCUUAGGCCC
Molecule: long non-coding RNA, 609 nt
Filed under: Populus trichocarpa (black cottonwood)
Lineage: Eukaryota; Viridiplantae; Streptophyta; Magnoliopsida; Malpighiales; Salicaceae
Description: long non-coding RNA (PTRI_LNC000709)
Source: RNAcentral